This is a non-coding RNA of Acanthosepion pharaonis, 114 nucleotides long. NCBI's taxonomy places the organism in Eukaryota, Metazoa, Mollusca, Cephalopoda, Sepiida, Sepiidae. The record is from the annotation of a GenBank genome assembly.
UUACAGCCAUAUCACAUUGAAACAUGGGUUCUCGUUAGAUCACAGAAGUCAAGCAACGUUGAAACUGGUCAGUACUCAUAUGGGUGACCACUGUGGAAUACCAGGUGCUGUAAG